This 597-nucleotide ribosomal RNA is filed under the name Pichia manshurica. Its description in RNAcentral is "eukaryotic LSU rRNA". It matches the Rfam family "Eukaryotic large subunit ribosomal RNA", at positions 41 to 664 of the family's 3401-position model. Lineage: Eukaryota; Fungi; Ascomycota; Pichiomycetes; Pichiales; Pichiaceae. The record is from RNAcentral.
UAUCAAUAAGCGGAGGAAAAGAAACCAACAGGGAUUGCCCCAGUAGCGGCGAGUGAAGCGGCAAGAGCUCAGAUUUGAAAUCGUGUUUCGGCACGAGUUGUAGAGUGUAGGCGGGAGUCUCUGUGGAGCGCGGUGUCCAAGUCCCUUGGAACAGGGUGCCUGAGAGGGUGAGAGCCCCGUAGGGUGCUGCGCGAAGCUUUUGAGGCCCUGCUGACGAGUCGAGUUGUUUGGGAAUGCAGCUCCAAGCGGGUGGUAAAUUCCAUCUAAGGCUAAAUAUUGGCGAGAGACCGAUAGCGAACAAGUACUGUGAAGGAAAGAUGAAAAGCACUUUGAAAAGAGAGUGAAACAGCACGUGAAAUUGUUGAAAGGGAAGGGUAUUGGGCUCGACAUGGGGGGUGCGCACCGCUGUCUCUUGUAGGCGGCGCUCUGGGCGCCCUCUGGGCCAGCAUCGGUUCCUGCUGCGGGAGAAGGGGCUCCGGAAAGUGGCUCUUCGGAGUGUUAUAGCCGGGGCCAGAUGCCGCGUGUGGGGACCGAGGACUGCGGCUUCUGUCUCGGAUGCUGGCAUAACGGCGCAAUACCGCCCGUCUUGAAACACGG